Molecule: ribosomal RNA, 253 nt
Filed under: uncultured bacterium
Lineage: Bacteria
Description: partial 16S ribosomal RNA
Rfam family: Bacterial small subunit ribosomal RNA
Source: RNAcentral
UACGGAGGGGGCUAGCGUUGUUCGGAAUCACUGGGCGUAAAGCGCACGUAGGCGGACUUUUAAGUCAGAGGUGAAAUCCCAAGGCUCAACCUUGGAACUGCCUUUGAUACUGGGAGUCUUGAGGUCGGAAGAGGUGAGUGGAACUGCGAGUGUAGAGGUGAAAUUCGUAGAUAUUCGCAAGAACACCAGUGGCGAAGGCGGCUCACUGGUCCGAUACUGACGCUGAGGUGCGAAAGCGUGGGGAGCAAACAGG